This is a transfer RNA of Chlorocebus sabaeus (green monkey), 69 nucleotides long. It matches the Rfam family "tRNA". Rfam says of the family: Transfer RNA (tRNA) molecules are approximately 80 nucleotides in length. Their secondary structure includes four short double-helical elements and three loops (D, anti-codon, and T loops). NCBI's taxonomy places the organism in Eukaryota, Metazoa, Chordata, Mammalia, Primates, Cercopithecidae. The record is from Rfam.
GAAAAAGUUAUACAGGUUAUAGGGUUGGCUUGAAACCAGUUUUAGGAGGUUCGAUUCCUUCCUUUUUCG